GUGGUCUGAAUGUUUAUAUCACCCAAAAUUCAUAUGUUGAAAUCCGACCCUUCGGAGAUGAUGGUAUUACUAAGUGGUGCCUUUGGGAGGUGAUUAGGUCAUGAAGGUAACACCCUCAUGAAUGGGAUUAGUUCUCUUAUAAAAGAGACACCAUAGAGCUCCCUAGUCCCUUCUACCAUCUGAGGAGGCGAUGAGAAGUCAACCAGCAGAAGAGGGACCUCUUCCAACCAUGGAGCCACCAUGGUGUCAGCCUUCCAGCCUCAAGAACUGUGAGCAAAAAUUUCUUCUAUCAGCCAUCAAGUCUGUAGUAUUUUUUUACGGCAGCCUGAAUGAAGUAAGACAAAAUAACAAGAAAAAGACGUGAUAAAGCAAAUGGAGGGCUUUUUGGUCUAUUGUUUUCACCUUUGCAGUUCAUGAUAGUCUCGUUGAAUGAACUGAAGAAUAAAACUAUAUAAUAUAGUCUUAUUAUAAGCAGAAGAAAAUGAAGAUGAUCUGACGAGAUAAAUCACUGAAGGUUAAUAGCUUUUUUAAAAUCAAUCUUCCUUCAAAGGAAAAGGCUAAACGGCUUAGUGGAUGAAACGCCAGCCUCUCACCUCUGAGACCAUAGUUCAAGUCUCAACUGUGAAGCCUUCAGCAACAUGUGUACUGGGCAGAGAUCAGUCUCUAGUGGACAAAAAUCUGCACUGCAUGAGUUGGAGGCUGCCGCAGUAAUCACCCCACGCACUGCCGACCCCUGUCAGCGGGACUGACGUGUUUCCACUCCACCUUGUCCCUUUGGAAAUGGUCCAGGUGGGAGCUAACAUCACUGUCAGGAAGCUGUGAGAGUGUUUUCAGAGCAGCCUUCUCAAAGAGUACUGGCGGUGUGAAGUCACUAGAGGUUGCUGCUUCACGAUUCUGACCUGACACCCAAAGAACCUGAUCUUCACUCCUAUAAACUGGAUGACACCUUUUCCUGUCAAUUAACAAAGUAGGACAAACAGAACUGAUCACUUGGCUAUUCCAGACUAACUAAGGACUCACUUACCAGAGGGUGGUUACCCAUGUGGGAGCCAAACUUCAAUAAUUAAAUUCAAAUGCAUCCAGAUAAAAUAGGGAAGCAUAAACACACAGGUGUAUGUACUCAUCUAUAAACAUGUAUAUUCCUACAAAUGUGUGCAGUCAUGUGUUGACAGAUAGAAGUUGGACCGUCCAUUUAUCUACAUGGGCAGUCCUCCAUUGCUGGCUAUUUAAAGGGCUUCUUUGUGUUCACUCCUUAGUAACAUGUCUUCAGCUUCCAUCCUUGAAUAGCAUAGUGCACUGCAUUUUAAACCUCCAAAAGGGACAUCCAAACUGUUUACAGAACACACACGUGGCACAAAUAGCUGUUAUUUAAGGAGAUUGCAGUCAGCUCGAUUUUAUGGGCAAACGUGUGUAUUGAAUAAUCCUACUGUAGUGUCCAACUAAAAUCAGCAUUUUAUUUCACAGUUUUAUGGUGAGAUAUGUUUUCUUUGCGCCUUUUACGCAUUGUGCAAUAACCCACUUGAAAGUGGAAGCAAUGUCUAAUUUGAAACUAUUUGAACAGGGGAUGGUAUUUGCAUACAAUGAAAUGUGUAAGAAAGUUUAAGAGUAGAAUCAUAUUAAAAUGUGGAUGCAUCCAUGACAUUUCCAUAUUCUUCCAAAAUGAUUUAUUAAUGAUUGUUGUUUACUGCUAAUUCAAACCACCUGCAAAUCUCUUUGUUAUGAUUAAAGCAAGCUUUUUUCCCCCAGGCUGAUAGAUGGCUCUGUAAUUUCAGAGGAAAUAUGCUAAAGGUCAUGAGUUAAUACAUCCUCUGGUACUUUCUCUUCCCAUCCUUGCUUUCCCAAAUGGGAGGAAAACUGUGUUGUAUUAUUUCCAUGUCUUUGUAAUGUCCAUUCAAAAUGAAAUUAGAAAGUGCAUUAAAAAGAGAGUAUCUGUAUGUACACACAGCAAAAUCCACACGUAUUCUGUAUAGUCUAUUACUAAAAUUAUACAAUUGCCUUUUGAGAUUUCAUACAAAAAAUCUUUCCUUAAUAAUCUAUGAAUAUCACUGUCUGAAUCAAGUAUUAUUAUCCCUUUUAAAAUUAAACUAUCCACAAAACAUGCAUUUACUUUCUGCUAUACAAAAUGCUAAUAAUGCUUUUAGAAUGGUCUUUAAAAAGUCUAAUUAUAUCAUUUAAAAACUGAGAGACCAAAGGGCAAGCUAAAUUCUCCUAACAUAAAUCAGACUUUUUUU
RNAcentral lists this long non-coding RNA (2231 nucleotides) under Equus caballus (horse). RNAcentral describes it as "lncRNA (ENSECAG00000056442.1)". The record is from RNAcentral. Lineage: Eukaryota; Metazoa; Chordata; Mammalia; Perissodactyla; Equidae.